UGGAACCCCAGAGUUGUUUUACCUUGCAUUUUUCUGAUCAGUAAUGAUUUUAGAGCAUCUUUUCCUGUGACUAUGAAUGACUAAUUUUUUCAUUUGAAAAAUAUCAUUUGAGCCCACAAAAUAUUAAAAGACCUAGAGGAGGACUCUGUGUUGAAUAACCUUUCUGAAGGAUUAUCAAAGAUCAUGUCUAAGAAUCUCACAGGAAGGAAAAGGGUGGAUGUGUUGCAGUGCACACCCUAGCACCCUAUCAUGCAACGGUCUCCUGGAGCUGCCAGCACCAAACGCCAGCUCCAUGGGACUGGAUCCCUCUACUUCCCCCCUCUACAUUUCUUCCUUAGCUUCAUCUAUGUUUAAGCUCACCCAGCUGCUGCCUUCUCUCACUGACCCUGCUCAGGGUCUCUGGGUACUUUCUCUCCUGGGCCUGCUGCCCGCUCUCCUGCUGUCUCCAUUGGGCAGCCCCCGGGGGGUCUUGGACUAGGACACCUGCCCAUGCCCUCCCUACUGUCUUGCCUCACUGUUGGCUGUCAGGUCUGGUUUUACUUCAAGAUGUCGCUCCUGAUCCCUUCUGUCCAUUUUUGAGCAGGCCCCCUGGCCUCUCAGGCAGUCUAACCUUUGGCCUUCCCUUCCACACAGGUGCACAGGUGCUCUCACUAGGUCUGUUUUUUGUCUACCUGUUUGGGGGAGGGUGUUAGUUUAUGGGACAGAAUGUGAGCUUCCUAAGGUCAGGAACGACUUCAUUUGGUCAUUGUGCUUUUGGCUGGUAGAUACUUAAUGAAGGCUUGGAUCACCUUUCCUACCUUCCUCUCUCCCUGAUGUAGGGGAUUUCCCCCCUCCUCUUGUCAUGUAAAAGCUUCUGCUGACAUUUUAUAUCUCCACCGCAGAAUGAAUCCCCCCCAGCGUGUUUUCCUAAGUUUGUUAAAGAAUAUUUGUUGAGUUGAAUCAGAUCUUCAUUGUGUUUGCAGUUCACUGAAACCUGCAAGUUUGUUUUUUUACAUGAAUUGCUGUCUAGCCAACUUUGCCCCAUGCAGCCUUUGCAGAAUUGCUUGUAGAAAAGCUAAAUUUCUUUUUUGUUGUUUAGUUUUGACCCAUCUAUCGAAAGUGUGUCAAAAUAUUUUUGGAUUCCAUUUUAAGAAUUGGAUUAAUAUUUGUCAAAAUGAUUCCCGAACUCCACAAAAAAUCAGGAAGUCUUUUGUGUUUUGCCAUUCACCCUUUUUUCCCCCUCUACUUUUUGUCACAAGGGGUGAGCUUGUUGGGUGCAAUUAUAAAGAUAAUUGCAAAUAAAGAUAAUGUAAAAGCAGAAAAUAUUAAUAAAUGUAUACAUAUUAUAUAAUCGUAUAUAACAAUUGAUCUUUAAUAGUUAAAUACUGAGCUUUAUUUCUCUUUGUAAAAUAGCUUAUGAGCUUCUAAUAAUUCAGUCUAAUACACGUGCCAUUUGUUAAGUAAUGUAAUAACUUGUACUGUUCUGUACAAGAUGUUUUGUUAGGUCCUGUGAAUACAAAGAGAAAAGUUUCUGUGAAUCGUGCUCACUUAUUUGGUGUACUUAAACACAUAUCCCAUGUACUUCAAAGAUUGAAUGAAAGGUCCUCUAUAUAACAAACUAUAAUAUAGCAAUAUUUGUAGUAGCAAAAGACUCCACAUAAAGUACAUGCCUUUUAGGGAAUGAGUAAACAUGUGUAAGUGUAUAUCAGUGAAACUAAGAAAAUAAAGAACAGAGAAGCUUUAUAUUUAGAUUUAUUAUAUAGAUUUAUAUAAUCUGAUGCUAAGUGAAGGGAGCAGGACUUCUAAGAGAAAAAGACACACUGGCUAUAGCAACUAAAAGACAAAGAACUAAAUGGUCAGCCCCAAAUGUUGUAUAAUUAUAAUGGCAAAGCUUGCCCCAGGAGAAGAGAUGAAAAAAUGUACUUUUCUCCCUUCUGUUCUCCUAGCCGUGGGGGAACCGCAAUGCAUGUAUAAUGAAAUCAGAGGGUUAGAUUUCUUGAACUAUUUAGUUUAGUGGUGGGGAAGGCAGAGGAGGAUUUAUUUGGAAAUAAAGUGAUGUAAAAACAAUAUAUCAGCAUUUUUAAAAUCUCCAAAACAGGUUUUUGUUUUUUUUUGUUUUUUUUAGUAACAUAUAUAAACUAGGGCCCAUAUGAAUAGAAUACAGUUCAUUUGCAAAAAAAUCUGGGUUUUUUCUUUUUUUUUGAAAGUGGAUUAUAAAUUCAGUCUGAUCAGAACAGCGCUGUGGCAGCGAGGAGAAAAGGCACUGCUCUUUUAGGCUGCAUUAAGAAUGUCAUCCAGGAAUUAGGAGGUGGAAGUUCAGACAUCUAGGUAUUGUGUUCAAGUCUCAGGAAACUGUCAAGGGCAGGGCCACAUACCUGAGGAAAGCCAUGAACUUCACACCCUGUUGGGACAAGUAGAAAUCCCAGUGGAUCGAGAGCUCGGCCCAGAAACAAACAGCUGAGCUAAAAAGAUAUUCACCAGGACAAGUCAUUGAGCUUUUGUUAACCUCAGUUUCCUCAUCUAUCAGUGAGAAGAAUAGCAGCAACUUCCUCCCAAGGUGGUCGAGGUAAGGAUCAAAUGAGAUCAUAAACUGCUAAGGAAGCUCAAUGUCUGUAGUUAAGAGCUAUAUAAAUGUGCCACUUUUAGCUACUAGGAGUGUAGUACCUGAAGGUUUACUGAAGGACCCCAGAGAGUUUAGCCUGAAGCUAAGACUCGGAGAGGAGUGCGCUGUUGCCAUCUUGGAGAAACUUUGGGGAAGAAGCUUUAGACUUGUUUGGGGGGAAAGGGUAGCACCGCGAGCAAUGGCACUGUACUUGAUGCAGUUGGGGAUUGGUCUAACUGUCAUGGAAAGCACAUUUACAAAGAAAUUUAACUGAUGUGGGAGAGCAACAUUCAGAGCUAUCCAAAAGUGGAACGUUCUGCCUUGGGAACUGGUGACAUCUAAAUGUCUAAAUGCAGCCUUUUUCUAGUUUUUGCAUCUUUUUGUUCCUUUUAAUUGAAAGGAGGUAAAGUGGCUCAGUUUGAAACAGUAUUUCUCAACAAGUCUUGUCUGGGGGGUGGAAUAGGCUCUUUUGAAGGAGUAACUGCCCAAUAAGCCCAUAUCCAAUGAUUUCUGGAUACUGAUGGCAAAAUAUGCCUUCUGUCUCUUGGUAGAAAUGGGGUAGAUUAUGGGUACCAAAAGAGGCCUGCUUUGAUUUUUCCCCUGCUUGACUAUGCUUGUUUCAAGUCAGGAUCCUAGAGGAUCUUUGCCAUGAGAACUCCAAGGUCCACAGGGUCAUGAAGAGUCAAAUAUGACUGAACGGCUCAAUGGAAUGCAAUUUGGCAGAAAUCAGGUUCAGACUGGCAGCUUGUACUAUGUACCCUAAGAAACUCUUAAGUGGAUAUGCAACCAGAAUAUAAUCGAGUUGCCACCAUUAAAAAAUGAGGAUUAUUGUUAGAGAUUUGGCAGAGUCCCCAGGGCCCUGAGAAGCACCCUUAUUUGCUUUUAACUUUGGCUAGUUGCAAAAUCUGUCUCCCUGAAUUCUUUUUUAAUGCCUUGGGAAAUGCUUUAAAUAGGUAUUUGAAUAUAUUUAAAUAGGUAUUUUUAUUGGUUUGUUUGAAUCCUUAAGUGCUGAGUGAUCCUUUGCAUCCGAAAUGGAGGACAGUAGUGAAGUGUAAUGAUGUAUUAGAAAAGACGAACAUUAAUAGGAUGUUCAGCGGAAAUGACUGGAUGGUUGUAGCUUCUCUAGUGCUGGAGAAAUCUCAGUGGACCCUCUGGGGCCCCUUGUGGGCAGGAUUCCUAGUCAACUCUAGCUCUGUGUAAACUUUCUCAUACUUAUUUCUGAGUUUUUAAAUCCUCCAAAUACCAAACUCUUCCACAGGGAUUCUGGCACCUUGGUCGUGAUCACAGGGUGGGUGAAAAGGGAAUGGAGGCAAAGCAGGAAGCCGUGCUGGGCCCCCUGCUCCCAUGGCUUAGGGCAGGCCUCAGUUGUGGCAGGUGGCUGGGAGAAUGCCAUCCUAGGAAGGUGGCAGGGUCCUCCAAGACUCCUGCACCCAUUUCCUCCUCAUUGGGCUUCUUCCCCUGUGCUGGGGAGGGAAAAGCCCCCUCACUUGCAGUCCGCCCUUCCUAUAGACUCAUCUUUUCUUGUGUCAGACCCAGAUGCACAGGACGCUGGAGUCAGACGAACAUACAUAGCUGAUUUUGCUGGUCCAUGGAGUGUGAAUGUCGGUGUGUCUGGCUGUUAGCUUUGUAUUUAUUUCAUGAGCUUACUUUUUUAAAGUGUUAGCUGAUACACUCACUUAACUUUUAAAAUUCAAACAAGAUUGAAGUAAAUUUUUUCUCUGUGACCAGGAUGAACUGGCAAUUAAAAGACCAGCCUCUGGGUGCUGGGGUAGAAUUGAGAAGAACUGUACAUUUCACAGGGGAGAGUAGACAACUAGAACGCUUUUCUCUUUAUUCACAAGUGCUGUUUCCAACUUUGUUUUUCCUUCAAGACUUUGUAAGUGUUGAUGUUGCAGCGUGACUGUGAAGUAAAUGGCCAGAGCUCCCAGGUAAUUGGGCUAAAGCACUGUUUUAGCAUUUAAAGGGAUCUGGGAAGCCAUGUCCAGUCUCCUCCUCCUGCAGCUGUCGAUGGAGGCAGAGGCCAGUCUGGGGCCCAGAUCCUCAGGCUCUGGAGCUGGGCUGGCUCUUCUGCACCGUGCCGCCUCCACUAACUAACUCGGGUCCGGUCUGUGAUUGUUGUGUUCACUUCCAGGUGGGAUGGCUUACCAGAACACUUUGGUGGGGAGGGGUCUGGAAAUGAUGCCGUAUGAAGAAUGGUUGGCUGAGGGGAUGGGGGGCAGACUUAUUCCGAGGAGCUCACGGGUAGUGGAGGAGACAGAUCUGUGAUUCAGUGCAGUGUUUCCAUCAGUUAGUUGUCCGGCGAUGGGAUACGCUUCCCCUCAGCUGCAGUCUCAGCUGCAUCUUUCUUGGCUCCCAUGUCAUGAGUCAUUCUUAUUUCAUUCUAGAUUUGUCACAAGUUGGAUUUCACUGAUUCUGAAUUGCUAGUGCCCUUUAUGCGACUUUCUUCUCUAGCAGUAGUCUACUUUUUUUUUUUAACUGAGGCAAUUGGAGUUAAGUGACUUGCCCAGGGUCACACAGCCAGGAAGCAUUAAGUGUCCGAGGUCACAUUUGAACUCGGGUCCUCCUGACUCCAGGGCUGUUGCUUUAUCCACUGCCCCACCGAGCUGCCCCUCUACUAGCAUUCUUUUUGGAGAUUUUUAUUAUACUAUUAGCAUGAUUCUUUGAUACUCUAUAGCCUAAAGAUCGCAGCUUUUAUAAUGUAUUCUGAACAAGAAACUGGCUGCACGUGAAUCCAGACCAGUCUCUUCUUGAUGCAACCUUUGUGCUUUGGCCACUGGAAAAUAGGAAGAUGUUUUGAAGAGCUGGGCCACCUGGCCUGGAGAAGAGACAACAUGGGGAACGUUCCCUUCAAAGAGAUUAAAGCUGUAUUUCAAGAGGAAGUAGCCUUGUUCUGCUUGGUCUGCAGGAGAUAUAAUUGGGAGCAAGGUGUAGAAGGGAAAGGUGCUAGGAAAGGCUUCCCAACAAGGAGACUUGUGGCCGUAGGAUCUCAUUAGCUCUCCGCAUGCCCCACCCAAUGGCUGGCCCACGGCUCUGCCUCCCCUGGCCGUUGGCAGGGACGACCACCUGCCUCUCCCUGCAUUCUCCACUCCCGGAUAUUGCUGUGCAUCCCUCCCCCACCAACCACAUGGGGGCUUCUCAUUUCCCAUGAGCACCUACCCUGCCCUUCCGCCCUAAGACGGUCACGCCCUCAACCUUGCUCACUCCCGGUCACCAAUCUGACCGUAAUCCUUGGCCAUUGGGGCUGUGCUCGUCUGUCUCCCCUUUCCGUGUGACCCCCGGCUCAUAUGAAGCUGCACAAAAGCUGCACAUGGUGGUUGCUGUUAAUUGGCAGGUUUCGUUAGCAGAUCACAGCCUGAGAGCUGGGACAGGGUGAAGAGCAGCUUCUGCUUGGCGCGAUCCCCAGAUCUGCGAGGGUGUCUCCACCUUCUCCAACAGAGUCCAGGUUAGUCUGGCGUGGCCCGGGCAUCAAAAUCUUACUGAUGACAUGGUAUUUACACGCUGCCCUCCCAUCCCCCUUUCCUCAGCCAGCCCCCAUUGAAGCUGCCCUCGGGACACAGGCCUUCCUAAAGCAGAGGUGGGACCCUGUCCCCUCCCCCUUCAGAAUCCAGUGUAGCCUCCCAGGUCUGGCGCUUCAGUGACCCGGAGUGCAUGCGGAGGGCUGUCCUGGCCGCGGCACAGGGGGAGGGAGCUACGUGACAGACAUUCACCUGGUGCUUGGUGGCUGGCUGGUGCUCCCCUUGGUGGCUGGCUGGUGCUCCCCUCAGCGGCAGCCCAGAGGUCACAGGCCGCCUCCUCUCCAAGGCUGUUUCUGUCUCUCGUGCCCAGCCUAGGGCCUGACACACAACCACUGUCAUCAGUGGGUGCCAAGUGACCCGCUGACCUGCCUCCCUGCAGAGGGAGCCCAUGGUCCCCUCUGCCCUUGGGAAGCAGUUUUGGAACCUGAGUCUUUUUAGGGUGGCCUUGGCUAGCCUGUCAUUCUCGGCUCUGGGAGCAGCCAAGGCAAAGACCUAGAGAGGAUUUAAUAGUUGACAAAAGUGUCUUCCAACAGACACGGGCUCCUUCUCUACAGUCAGUUUCUUUAUGGGAUGGUAAAUUAGGGUUCAGAAAAGUUGCGUUUUAUCUCAGUGAGCCCGGCACUGAUUGAUAUGACGGAGCUGGAAAACCUUGCCCAUGAAAUGGAUGGGCUGACCUCGGGAGCCUAGCAUGCACCGGGACCACCGGGUCCUUGUCAGGCUUCUGCCCCAGACUAGGAGAAGGGAGCCCUGGUUUUCCUCUAUAGCUUCACUUGUCUGACUCCUUUGCAUUCAGGUUUGUCUGGUGAAGGAAGAGGCGGCUUCCCAAAUGGCUCAGCCUCGGCCACCAGUAUGGGCGCUGGCGACCAUCUCCAGGGAGCUACGCUUCUCCCAGAGUUUACACUGUUCUCCUGCUUCUUUCUAACUGAAAAACGAUCUGAAUGUUCAGAAUCUUUUAAAAAUGAUUGUUCAUUCUUUCUUCCUACCUAUGAAAAUUUUGAGUUGCAUCUUGCCCUUUUAUUCAGGGAGAUGAAUGACUUCUGCCUCCUUCUGCGACCCCAGCUGCCUGCCCUCCAGAGAGGCUCUUGGGCCGGCCCAACAGAACCCGGAGCUUCUGCCAGUUCCACCUCUUGGGGUCCAAAACCAAAGUCUCUCCUGUUAUGCCAGCCGGCUAGUAACGGCGCCUUCCUAGCAAACUGUGCUGCUCGUGCUGUGCUGGGAGGAGCCUGCGGGUCUGGAGGCCGAAGGGGAUUCCAGAAGGGAGAGCAUCUGUUGUAGCUGAAGAGGUGCUCCUCGUACACGGCAAAGGGAGGCUCUGGGACUAAGCUGAGGAGACCCGGGCUCUCCUUCCUGUGUGAGACUUAGAGAUGGAGGACAUGGAGGAGGCUUUCCAUUUUGUUUGUACAAGAAGCAGGCAGGAGUGCAGCUCUGAUGAGCAACGAGGUGGAACGAGCCCUUUGGCUCGCAGGAAGAAGUUUGGCUGAACUAACUAAUGGUCACUAACCGAAGAAUCCCACUGAACUUUCGGGAAAAGACUGAAAUGGCUGCCCACAAGUGCUACUGUUCCUUUAACAAGCAGAUGAGUCCAUUGUGGAGAGGGUCAGGAUGCUCCUGUCGUUGGUACAGAAGGGGUCCGAUGGGCUCCAUGAUCUACAGUAACAAUAAGAGACAAGUUUGGCUGACUGGGGAACCUCAGUUUUGAGA
This is a long non-coding RNA of Sarcophilus harrisii (Tasmanian devil), 7797 nucleotides long. RefSeq lists it as uncharacterized. The record is from RefSeq and is a predicted model, not a curated record. The transcript is spliced from 2 exons. NCBI's taxonomy places the organism in Eukaryota, Metazoa, Chordata, Mammalia, Dasyuromorphia, Dasyuridae.